GCCGAAGUGGUGGAAUUGGUAGACACGCACGUUUCAGGGGCGUGUGUUCGCAAGGACAUGGGGGUUCGAGUCCCCCCUUCGGCA
Molecule: transfer RNA, 84 nt
Filed under: Bacteroidota bacterium
Lineage: Bacteria; Pseudomonadati; Bacteroidota
Also listed under: 1 other name
Description: tRNA-Leu
Rfam family: tRNA
About the family: Transfer RNA (tRNA) molecules are approximately 80 nucleotides in length. Their secondary structure includes four short double-helical elements and three loops (D, anti-codon, and T loops).
Source: RNAcentral